Molecule: transfer RNA, 69 nt
Filed under: Caracara creightoni
Lineage: Eukaryota; Metazoa; Chordata; Aves; Falconiformes; Falconidae
Description: tRNA-Arg
Source: RNAcentral
AGGAAGUUAGUUUAACCAAAACAGUUGAUUUCGGCUCAACAAAUCAUAGCCUCACCCUAUGACUUCCUC